AUGGAUUGUACUAGAAGUUCGUGAGCUGACCUUCGGGAGGCAGCGACCCACGGUAUGAUCCAUGAUUGGGGUGAAGUCGUAACAAGGUAGCUGUAGGUGAACCUGCAGAAGGAUCA
RNAcentral lists this ribosomal RNA (116 nucleotides) under uncultured eukaryote. RNAcentral's name for it is "partial small subunit ribosomal RNA". It matches the Rfam family "Bacterial small subunit ribosomal RNA", at positions 1410 to 1525 of the family's 1533-position model. The record is from RNAcentral.